GUUUUGUGUAAAGACGCGGACCCUCCGGCAAAGGAGGACCCACGCGGUGAUGCACAAAGGGUGAGAUGGAUUGUGAGAGGGGCUCGGGCGUGCACGACCGGGGAAGGUCAGCGACAGCCGUCGCGCCUCGGUUUAACGAUAAUGAUCCUUCC
RNAcentral lists this unclassified non-coding RNA (152 nucleotides) under uncultured fungus. Its description in RNAcentral is "sequence contains ITS1, 5.8S rRNA gene, ITS2 and 28S rRNA gene". The record is from RNAcentral. Lineage: Eukaryota; Fungi.